GACGAACGCUGGCGGCGUGCCUAAUACAUGCAAGUUGAGCGAUGAAGAUUGGUGCUUGCACCAAUUUGAAGAGCAGCGAACGGGUGAGUAACGCGUGGGGAAUCUGCCUUUGAGCGGGGGACAACAUUUGGAAACGAAUGCUAAUACCGCAUAAUAACUUUAAACAUAAGUUUUAAGUUUGAAAGAUGCAAUUGCAUCACUCAAAGAUGAUCCCGCGUUGUAUUAGCUAGUUGGUGAGGUAAAGGCUCACCAAGGCGAUGAUACAUAGCCGACCUGAGAGGGUGAUCGGCCACAUUGGGACUGAGACACGGCCCAAACUCCUUCGGGAGGCAGCAGUAGGGAAUCUUCGGCAAUGGACGAAAGUCUGACCGAGCAACGCCGCGUGAGUGAAGAAGGUUUUCGGAUCGUAAAACUCUGUUGGUAGAGAAGAACGUUGGUGAGAGUGGAAAGCUCAUCAAGUGACGGUAACUACCCAGAAAGGGACGGCUAACUACGUG
RNAcentral lists this ribosomal RNA (497 nucleotides) under uncultured bacterium. RNAcentral describes it as "partial 16S ribosomal RNA". It matches the Rfam family "Bacterial small subunit ribosomal RNA", at positions 28 to 507 of the family's 1533-position model. The record is from RNAcentral.